RNAcentral lists this ribosomal RNA (1938 nucleotides) under human gut metagenome. Its description in RNAcentral is "bacterial LSU rRNA". It matches the Rfam family "Bacterial large subunit ribosomal RNA", at positions 1 to 1977 of the family's 2925-position model. The record is from RNAcentral.
CUACACUCUUUCCCUACACGACGCUCUUCCGAUCUCUGAGAGCCGACGAAAGACGUGAUAAGCUGCGAUAAGCUGCGGUAAGGAGCAAAUAUCCAUUGACCCGCAGAUUUCUGAAUGGGGAAACCUACGCAAGAAGACCUUGCGUACUCAUACAUGAAUACAUAGUGUAUGAGAGGGAACCCGGGGAACUGAAACAUCUAAGUACCCGGAGGAAGAGAAAGAAACAUCGAUUUCCUGAGUAGCGGCGAGCGAAAGGGAAAGAGCCCAAACCAGAGGAUUUAUCCUUUGGGGUUAGGACUGCAUAAUUGAUCUGCAAUUGAUAGGAGAACGGUCUGGGAAGUCCGGCGAGAAAGCGUGAAAGCCGCGUAUCCGAAAUCGAAAGCAGCAAGGCAGGAUCCAGAGUACCACGAGACACGAGAAACCUUGUGGGAAUGAGCGGAGACCACUCCGUAAGGCUAAAUACUACUCAGUGACCGAUAGCGCAUAGUACUGUGAAGGAAAGGUGAAAAGGACCCCGGGAGGGGAGUGAAAGAGAACCUGAAACCCUGUGUUUACAAGCUGUCGAAGCACGCAAGUGCGACGGCGUACUUUUUGUAGAACGGUCCGGCGAGUUAUGAUGAGUGGUAAGGUUAAGGACUUAAGGUCCGGAGCCGAAGCGAAAGCGAGUGUUAAAAGCACGGUUGAAUCGCUUAUCAUAGACCCGAAACCGGGUGAUCUAUCCAUGUCCAGGUUGAAGCUGCCGUAAGAGGUAGUGGAGGACCGAACACACAUCCGUUGAAAAGGGUGGUGAUGAGGUGUGGAUAGGGGAGAAAUUCCAAUCGAACCCGGAGAUAGCUGGUUCUCCUCGAAAUAGCUUUAGGGCUAGCCUCUGGUUAGUCUGCCGCAGGUAGAGCACUGAAUUUCCUAGGGGGCGUCAAAGCCUACCGAAGAAUAUCAAACUGCGAAUGGCGGACAGAUGAUGCCAGGGAGUCAGACUGCACGAGAUAAGUUGGGUGGUCAAAAGGGAAAGAGCCCAGACCUACAGCUAAGGUCCCAAAGUGUGUGUUAAGUGGAAAAGGAUGUGGGAUUUCGAAGACAACUAGGAUGUUGGCUCAGAAGCAGCCACACAUUAAAAGAGUGCGUAAUAGCUCACUAGUCGAGAGGUCCUGCGCCGAAAAUGUCCGGGGCUAAAACACAACACCGAAGCUUAGGAAUUCUAAUGAAUUGGUAGAGGAGCAUUGAAGACGGAACGAAGCCAUACCGGAAGGAAUGGUGGACUGUCUUGAAGAGAGAAUGCCGGAAUGAGUAGCGAGAUUGAAGUGAGAAUCUUCAAGGCCGAAUAUCUAAGGUUUCCAGGGUAAAGCUGAUCUGCCCUGGGUAAGUCGGGGCCUAAGGCAAGGUCGAAAGACGUAGUCGAUGGAUAACAGGUUGAAAUUCCUGUACUGCAUCAAAUCAGAAAUGUGGGGACACAUGAGGGAAGCAUGAGCCGGAAAAGGAAAGUCCGGUACAAGCGCAGCAGAGGACAGAUAGGCAAAUCCGUCUGUCAACUCAAGGGCGCGAUGUGGAGCGAACCAAAGUAGCGAAGCAUGUGGAGCUUGUGUCGAGAAAAGCCGCUAUUGUGUUUGAUGUACCCGUACCGUAAACCGACACAGGUGGAUGAGGAGAGAAUCCUAAGGCCGGCGGGAGAAGCAUUGUUAAGGAACUCGGCAAAAUGACCCCGUAACUUCGGGAGAAGGGGUGCUCUUAGAAAUAAGAGCCGCAGAGAAUUGGCCCAAGCAACUGUUUAGCAAAAACACAGGUCUAUGCAAAACCGAAAGGUGAGGUAUAUGGGCUGACGCCUGCCCGGUGCUGGAAGGUUAAGAGGAGAUGUUAGCCGCAAGGUGAAGCAUUGAAUUUAAGCCCCAGUAAACGGCGGCCGUAACUAUAACGGUCCUAAGGUAGCGAAAUUCCUUGUCGGGU